UACGUAGGGGGCAAGCGUUAUCCGGAUUUACUGGGUGUAAAGGGAGCGUAGACGGCCAGACAAGUCUGAAGUGAAAAUCCAGCGCUUAACGUUGGAAGUGCUUUGGAAACUGCCGGGCUAGAGUGCAGGAGGGGCAGGCGGAAUUCCUAGUGUAGCGGUGAAAUGCGUAGAUAUUAGGAGGAACACCAGUGGCGAAGGCGGCCUGCUGGACUGCAACUGACGUUGAGGCUCGAAGGCGUGGGGGGCAAACAGG
RNAcentral lists this ribosomal RNA (253 nucleotides) under uncultured bacterium. Its description in RNAcentral is "partial 16S ribosomal RNA". It matches the Rfam family "Bacterial small subunit ribosomal RNA", at positions 524 to 776 of the family's 1533-position model. The record is from RNAcentral.